GGCAAGAUGGCCGAGCGGUCUAAGGCGCUAGCUUCAGGUGCUAGUAGAGAAAUCUGCGUGGGUGUAAGUUUCAAUCAACUACUUUGGCUGUUCAACAGCAUUCUAACAUUAUCACAGUCGAAUCCCACUCUUGUCA
This 136-nucleotide transfer RNA is filed under the name Bipolaris maydis (southern corn leaf blight pathogen). Its description in RNAcentral is "tRNA-Leu". It matches the Rfam family "tRNA". Rfam says of the family: Transfer RNA (tRNA) molecules are approximately 80 nucleotides in length. Their secondary structure includes four short double-helical elements and three loops (D, anti-codon, and T loops). The record is from RNAcentral. RNAcentral also lists the same sequence under 2 other names. Lineage: Eukaryota; Fungi; Ascomycota; Dothideomycetes; Pleosporales; Pleosporaceae.